RNAcentral lists this ribosomal RNA (248 nucleotides) under Francisella tularensis. RNAcentral describes it as "partial ribosomal RNA". It matches the Rfam family "Bacterial small subunit ribosomal RNA", at positions 372 to 612 of the family's 1533-position model. Lineage: Bacteria; Pseudomonadati; Pseudomonadota; Gammaproteobacteria; Thiotrichales; Francisellaceae. The record is from RNAcentral.
UGGGGGCAACCCUGAUCCAGCAAUGCCAUGUGUGUGAAGAAGGCCCUAGGGUUGUAAAGCACUUUAGUUGGGGAGGAAAGCCUCAAGGUUAAUAGCCUUGGGGGAGGACGUUACCCAAAGAAUAAGCACCGGCUAACUCCGUGCCAGCAGCCGCGGUAAUACGGGGGGUGCAAGCGUUAAUCGGAAUUACUGGGCGUAAAGGGUCUGUAGGUGGUUUGUUAAGUCAGAUGUGAAAGCCCAGGGCUCAA